AGACGAGUGGCGAACUGGUGAGUAACNCNUGNNUAACUUGCCCCGAAGCGGGGGAUAACAUUUGGAAACAGGUGCUAAUACCGCAUAACAACAAAAACCACAUGGUUUUUGUUUAAAAGAUGGUUUCGGCUAUCACUUUGGGAUGGACCCGCGGCGUAUUAGCUAGUUGGUGAGGUAAUGGCUCACCAAGGCAAUGAUACGUAGCCGACCUGAGAGGGUAAUCGGCCACAUUGGGACUGAGACACGGCCCAAACUCCUACGGGAGGCAGCAGUAGGGAAUCUUCCACAAUGGACGAAAGUCUGAUGGAGCAACGCCGCGUGAGUGAUGAAGGGUUUCGGCUCGUAAAACUCUGUUGUUGGAGAAGAACGGGUGUCAGAGUAACUGUUGACAUCGUGACGGUAUCCAACCAGAAAGCCACGGCUAACUACGUGCCAGCAGCCGCGGUAAUACGUAGGUGGCAAGCGUUGUCCGGAUUUAUUGGGCGUAAAGCGAGCGCAGGCGGUUUUUUAGGUCUGAUGUGAAAGCCUUCGGCUUAACCGGAGAAGUGCAUCGGAAACCGGGAGACUUGAGUGCAGAAGAGGACAGUGGAACUCCAUGUGUAGCGGUGAAAUGCGUAGAUAUAUGGAAGAACACCAGUGGCGAAGGCGGCUGUCUGGUCUGCAACUGACGCUGAGGCUCGAAAGCAUGGGUAGCGAACAGGAUUAGAUACCCUGGUAGUCCAUGCCGUAAACGAUGAGUGCUAAGUGUUGGAGGGUUUCCGCCCUUCAGUGCUGCAGCUAACGCAUUAAGCACUCCGCCUGGGGAGUACGACCGCAAGGUUGAAACUCAAAGGAAUUGACGGGGGCCCGCACAAGCGGUGGAGCAUGUGGUU
RNAcentral lists this ribosomal RNA (872 nucleotides) under bacterium 835. Its description in RNAcentral is "bacterial SSU rRNA". It matches the Rfam family "Bacterial small subunit ribosomal RNA", at positions 89 to 946 of the family's 1533-position model. The record is from RNAcentral.